GACAGAGGUUGCAAGCGUUGUUCGGAAUUACUGGGCAUAAAGCGCACGUAGGCGGUCCGCUAAGUCAUGUGUGAAAUCCCCCGGCUCAACCGGGGAAUGGCGCCUGAUACUGGCGGACUCGAGAUCGGUAGGGGUGAGUGGAACUCCAGGUGGAGCGGUGAAAUGCGUAGAUAUCUGGAGGAACACCGGUGGCGAAAGCGACUCACUGGACCGACACUGACGCUGAUGAGCGAAAGCCAGGGGAGCAAACGGG
This 253-nucleotide ribosomal RNA is filed under the name uncultured bacterium. RNAcentral describes it as "partial 16S ribosomal RNA". It matches the Rfam family "Bacterial small subunit ribosomal RNA", at positions 524 to 776 of the family's 1533-position model. The record is from RNAcentral.